ACGGCAGCGCGGGAGCAAUCCUGGCGGCGAGUGGCGAACGGGUGAGUAAUAUAUCGGAACGUGCCCUGUAGCGGGGGAUAACCUAUCGAAAGAUGGACUAAUACCGCAUACGCUCUACGGAGGAAAGCGGGGGUCGCAAGACCUCGCACUAUAGGAGCGGCCGAUAUCGGAUUAGCUAGUUGGCGGGGUAAAAGCCCACCAAGGCGACGAUCCGUAGCUGGUCUGAGAGGAUGAUCAGCCACACUGGAACUGAGACACGGUCCAGACUCCUACGGGAGGCAGCAGUGGGGAAUUUUGGACAAUGGGCGCAAGCCUGAUCCAGCCAUGCCGCGUGAGUGAAGAAGGCCUUCGGGUUGUAAAGCUCUUUCGGCAGGAACGAAAUGGUUCGUGCUAAUACCACGGACUGAUGACGGUACCUGAAGAAGAAGCACCGGCUAACUACGUGCCAGCAGCCGCGGUAAUACGUAGGGUGCAGGCGUUAAUCGGAAUUACUGGGCGUAAAGCGUGCGCAGGCGGUUUCUUAAGUCAGAUGUGAAAGCCCCGGGCUUAACCUGGGAACUGCGUUUGAAACUGGGAGACUUGAGUGUGGCAGAGGGGGGUGGAAUUCCACGUGUAGCAGUGAAAUGCGUAGAUAUGUGGAGGAACACCGAUGGCGAAGGCAGCCCCCUGGGUUAACACUGACGCUCAUGCACGA
RNAcentral lists this ribosomal RNA (694 nucleotides) under uncultured bacterium. RNAcentral describes it as "bacterial SSU rRNA". It matches the Rfam family "Bacterial small subunit ribosomal RNA", at positions 66 to 756 of the family's 1533-position model. The record is from RNAcentral.